RNAcentral lists this transfer RNA (74 nucleotides) under Lepisosteus oculatus (spotted gar). It matches the Rfam family "tRNA". From Rfam's summary of the family: Transfer RNA (tRNA) molecules are approximately 80 nucleotides in length. Lineage: Eukaryota; Metazoa; Chordata; Actinopteri; Semionotiformes; Lepisosteidae. The record is from Rfam by way of RNAcentral.
GCCAUUGUAGCUCAGACGGCUAGGGUGUCUGGCUCCUGACCGGAAGGUCCUGGGUUCAAUCCCAGGUAGGGGCA